This is a long non-coding RNA of Pieris napi, 385 nucleotides long. RefSeq lists it as uncharacterized. The record is from RefSeq and is a predicted model, not a curated record. The transcript is spliced from 2 exons. NCBI's taxonomy places the organism in Eukaryota, Metazoa, Arthropoda, Insecta, Lepidoptera, Pieridae.
AAUAUAUUUACAAAUUGUUUAACUUAUAAAAUAAUGGUAUGGGGAAAGUAAGUAGUGGUAGUGACUACAACCUUCCAUCUCCACUAAAAUACUUCGAUGUAUGCACAAUGCAAAAUCUUUUCUAUCAAAUGAAAGAUUAUUAUUAUGACGAACCACCAAACUAUUCCAAUAAAGGUAAAAACAGUACAUUACAAUGUUUAAAACUAUGUUUACCUGGGUCAACAAGUAUCUUUCUCAAAGACAAGACACGACGAUUAGGUUAAAAUACGAGUUAACAUAACCUGGAAUAAAUCCUGGAGCAAUAAAGAAACCCUUAAAUCAGAAUUUUAAAACUUAAGAAAAAAUAAUGGACUCAUAUUUAAUACCUUGUCUUACAUAUGGCUUC